This 253-nucleotide ribosomal RNA is filed under the name uncultured bacterium. Its description in RNAcentral is "partial 16S ribosomal RNA". It matches the Rfam family "Bacterial small subunit ribosomal RNA", at positions 524 to 776 of the family's 1533-position model. The record is from RNAcentral.
UACGUAGGUGGCAAGCGUUGUCCGGAUUUCCUGGGCGUAAAGAGCGCGCAGGCGGUCGUUCAAGUCGCGUGUGAAAGCCCCCGGCUCAACUGGGGAGGGUCACGCGAUACUGAUCGACUCGAAGGCAGGAGAGGGAAGUGGAAUUCCCGGUGUAGUGGUGAAAUGCGUAGAUAUCGGGAGGAACACCAGUGGCGAAGGCGACUUCCUGGCCUGUUCUUGACGCUGAGGCGCGAAAGCUAGGGGAGCAAACGGG